GAUGAACGCUAGCUACAGGCUUAACACAUGCAAGUCGAGGGGUAACGAGAGGAAAGCUUGCUUUCCUUGUCGACGACCGGCGCACGGGUGAGUAACGCGUAUCCAACCUGCCCCCAACUAAGGAAUAACCUUGCGAAAGUAAGACUAAUACCUUAUAAUUUCCUCAGAUGUCAUCUGACGAGGAAUAAAGAUUUAUCGGUUGUGGAUGGGGAUGCGUCUGAUUAGCUUGUUGGCGGGGUAACGGCCCACCAAGGCAACGAUCAGUAGGGGUUCUGGGAGGAAGGUCCACCACAUGGGAACUGAGACACGGUCCAAACUCCUACGGGAGGCAGCAGUGAGGAAUAUUGGGCAAUGGGCGGAAGCCUGGACCAGCCAAGUAGCGUGCAGGAUGACGGCCCUAUGGGUUGUAAACUGCUUUUAUACAGGAAUAAAGUUAGCCACGUGUGGUUAUUUGUAAGUACUGUAUGAAUAAGGACCGGCUAAUUCCGUGCCAGCCGCCGCGGUAA
This 506-nucleotide ribosomal RNA is filed under the name uncultured bacterium. RNAcentral's name for it is "partial 16S ribosomal RNA". It matches the Rfam family "Bacterial small subunit ribosomal RNA", at positions 28 to 523 of the family's 1533-position model. The record is from RNAcentral.